This 116-nucleotide ribosomal RNA is filed under the name Bacillus cereus E33L. The record is from RNAcentral. Lineage: Bacteria; Bacillati; Bacillota; Bacilli; Caryophanales; Bacillaceae.
CUGGUAAUGAUGGCAGAGAGGUCACACCCGUUCCCAUACCGAACACGGAAGUUAAGCUCUCUAGCGCCGAUGGUAGUUGGGACCUUGUCCCUGUGAGAGUAGGACGUUGCCAGGCA